AUACGGAGGGGGCUAGCGUUGUUCGGAAUUACUGGGCGUAAAGCGUACGUAGGCGGACUGAUCAGUUAGGGGUGAAAUCCCAGGGCUUAACCCUGGAACUGCCUUCAAUACUGUCAGUCUUGAGUUUGGGAGAGGUGAGUGGAAUUCCUAGUGUAGAGGUGAAAUUCAUAGAUAUUAGGAGGAACACCAGUGGCGAAGGCGGCUCACUGGCCCAUUACUGACGCUGAGGUACGAAAGCGUGGGGAGCAAACAGGAUUAGAAACCCUAGUAGUCC
Molecule: ribosomal RNA, 274 nt
Filed under: uncultured bacterium
Lineage: Bacteria
Description: partial 16S ribosomal RNA
Rfam family: Bacterial small subunit ribosomal RNA
Source: RNAcentral